GAGAGCUUAGCUUAAUAGGUAAAGUAUGUGACUUUUAAUCACCAUGAUAUGGGUUCGAAACCUGUAGCUCUUA
This is a non-coding RNA of Viridothelium virens, 73 nucleotides long. Lineage: Eukaryota; Fungi; Ascomycota; Dothideomycetes; Trypetheliales; Trypetheliaceae. The record is from the annotation of a GenBank genome assembly.